AGAAUUUGAAGAAACGCUGUAUUUUUUUAAUAAGUAUAUUUUGUGCUGAUCAUUUUAGUGUGUCUGAUUUAAUUUUUCGAGCAAAUUCACAUCCGACUUCUAUUUAUAAUCGGUAACUAUUUUUCUUGUUUUAAUCAUUCAAUUAAAGUAAUUAGAAUUUAUUAACUUAAAAUAUUGUUUAGAAAUUUAUGAAGACCACAUUUUAUUUAAUAAGGAUUAAUUUCAAAAAAUAUAAUAAGGUUGCACAUUGGAUUCUUUGUGAUUGCCAGUUGGUAUUCUCCACUCCAACGGAUAUAUAGUGACAACUAGCAUUGAGGGAAAUGAGGAGGUCACUCAUUACUGACCAACAGACUCUCUCUCGUUUACUCUCUCUUUCCAACAAAUAAGCAAAAAAAAGAAAUAAAUAAGAGGACACAUCCCUCACUCCCACUACAGACUCUGAGAAGGAAGAAAAAAAGAAAAAUUAAAUUAACAAAAAAGCUUUUCCUCUUCGUCUUCCAGAUCCACCCCUUCAUCCACGCCUCCGCACAACACCAAUACCCACCACCAUAAUCGCGACUCCUUCAACCUUUUCUCUCCAUCUGUUUCCGUUGAAAACCCUUCCACUUCCAUUCACCUCUCCACACUAUAAUCUGUACCUUAUUCUUCUUCACGAUGCCACCUCCACCAUUGUCACAUAUCCUCACCAAACCACCUCUCAUCUCCACCGCGGAGAAACCGUCACCGAAACACCAUCCUCAUCCACAACCCAACUCGAACACCACAAACCACACAACCGCCACCUUUUCUGUUUCACUCCCACGACAACUUCCGGCCAACCGCCAUAGCCGCCGUGAGAACCACCAUCCCAAACCUCCAUUCAACCGCUUCGCAGUUCUAUCUCCCUCCGACUCCGAUUUUGACGCCGUCAAUAUCAACAAUCUCAAACUUCAUUAAGAGAACAAAAAAGAAGUGGAGGUGAUUCUCGGUCAA
This 972-nucleotide long non-coding RNA is filed under the name Lathyrus oleraceus (garden pea). RNAcentral's name for it is "Pisum sativum (pea) long non-coding RNA (PSAT_LNC007323)". The record is from RNAcentral. Lineage: Eukaryota; Viridiplantae; Streptophyta; Magnoliopsida; Fabales; Fabaceae.